UCUCUGGCUCCAGUGAAACU
Molecule: small nuclear RNA, 20 nt
Filed under: Arabidopsis thaliana (thale cress)
Lineage: Eukaryota; Viridiplantae; Streptophyta; Magnoliopsida; Brassicales; Brassicaceae
Description: snRNA_17380
Source: RNAcentral